RNAcentral lists this long non-coding RNA (388 nucleotides) under Monodelphis domestica (gray short-tailed opossum). RNAcentral's name for it is "lncRNA (ENSMODG00000031822.2)". Lineage: Eukaryota; Metazoa; Chordata; Mammalia; Didelphimorphia; Didelphidae. The record is from RNAcentral.
AUGCUUCCUCUGGAUGUGGAUAGCUUCUUUCUCAUAAGACCCUCAGAAUUGUCUUGGAUCAUUGCAUUGCUGCUAGUAGCAACAUCGAUUACAUUGGAUAGUUCCACAAUGUUUCAGUUUCCGUGUACAAUGUUUUCCUGGUUCUGCUCAUUUCAUUCUGCAUCGUUUCAUGGAGGUUCCUCCAACAUCAUUCCUCAUAGCACAGUGGUAUUCCAUCACCAACAGAUACCACGGUUUUCUUGCUUAAUGACACAUGUAAAACCCAGUGGAAUUGCAUGUUGGCUAUGGGAAGAGGUUGGGAGGAAGGGGAGGGAAAGAACAUGAAUCUUGUAACCAUAGGAAUAUGGUCUAAAUUAAUUAAUUAAAUAAAAGUAAAUAUUUAAAAGCA